GGAUAUAUAGCUCAGUGGUAGAGCAUGUGCCUGGCAUGCAUGAGGUCCUGGGUUCAACCCCCAGUGCCUCCA
This 72-nucleotide transfer RNA is filed under the name Camelus bactrianus (Bactrian camel). It matches the Rfam family "tRNA". Rfam says of the family: Transfer RNA (tRNA) molecules are approximately 80 nucleotides in length. Their secondary structure includes four short double-helical elements and three loops (D, anti-codon, and T loops). RNAcentral also lists the same sequence under 1 other name. The record is from Rfam by way of RNAcentral. Lineage: Eukaryota; Metazoa; Chordata; Mammalia; Artiodactyla; Camelidae.